AUUGAACGCUGGCGGCAUGCUUUACACAUGCAAGUCGAACGGUAACAGGCCUUCGGGUGCUGACGAGUGGCGAACGGGUGAGUAAUGCAUCGGAACGUGCCCAGAGGUGGGGGAUAACGCAGCGAAAGCUGUGCUAAUACCGCAUGUGAUCUGAGGAUGAAAGCGGGGGACCAGGCAGCAAUGUUUGGCCUCGCGCCUUUGGAGCGGCCGAUGUCCGAUUAGGUAGUUGGUGGGGUAAAGGCCUACCAAGCCGACGAUCUGUAGCUGGUCUGAGAGGACGACCGGCCACACUGGGACUGAGACACGGCCCAGACUCCUACGGGAGGCAGCAGUGGGGAAUUGUGGACAAUGGGCGCAAGCCUGAUCCAGCAAUGCCGCGUGCGGGAAGAAGGCGUUCGGGUUGUAAAGCGCUUUUGUACGGAGCGAAAAGGCUCUGGCUAAUACCUGGGGCUGAUGACGGUACCGUAAGAAUAAGCACCGGCUAACUACGUG
RNAcentral lists this ribosomal RNA (492 nucleotides) under uncultured bacterium. RNAcentral's name for it is "partial 16S ribosomal RNA". It matches the Rfam family "Bacterial small subunit ribosomal RNA", at positions 29 to 507 of the family's 1533-position model. The record is from RNAcentral.